This 383-nucleotide ribosomal RNA is filed under the name uncultured bacterium. Its description in RNAcentral is "bacterial SSU rRNA". It matches the Rfam family "Bacterial small subunit ribosomal RNA", at positions 43 to 455 of the family's 1533-position model. The record is from RNAcentral.
CAGGCCUAACACAUGCAAGUCGAACGAGCCUUUCGGGGCUAGUGGCGGACGGGUGAGUAACGCGUGGGAACGUGCCCUAAGGUUCGGAACAACUGAGGGAAACUUCAGCUAAUACCGGAUGUGCCCGAGAGGGGAAAGAUUUAUCGCCUUAGGAGCGGCCCGCGUCUGAUUAGCUAGUUGGUGGGGUAAAGGCCCACCAAGGCUUCGAUCAGUAGCUGGUCUGAGAGGAUGGCCAGCCACAUUGGGACUGAGACACGGCCCAAACUCCUACGGGAGGCAGCAGUGGGGAAUCUUGCGCAAUGGGCGAAAGCCUGACGCAGCCAUGUCGCGUGGAUGAUGAAGGUCUUAGGAUUGUAAAUCUUUUCAGCGGGGACGAUAAUGAC